This is a long non-coding RNA of Meriones unguiculatus (Mongolian gerbil), 232 nucleotides long. RefSeq lists it as uncharacterized. The transcript has 2 exons. Lineage: Eukaryota; Metazoa; Chordata; Mammalia; Rodentia; Muridae. The record is from RefSeq and is a predicted model, not a curated record.
CGCAGAUUCCUCCUCACUUGCUCACGCUCUCUUCGCACCUAGCCCUUCUCUUGGGACUCUCCUACACCAAGAGCUAUAGACAGAAGGGGAGGUCUUUCAUCUGCUCUCAAAUCAGAAGGACCCUCUGUGCCGUUCGUAGGAGUCUCAUGUUACUCCUUUAAAACUGCCACUGGUACUGGAAAAUACUGUCAAACUCCCAAAACUGUAUUAAUAAAAAGUAUGUUUAACAAUG